This 597-nucleotide ribosomal RNA is filed under the name Trichoderma harzianum. Its description in RNAcentral is "eukaryotic LSU rRNA". The stretch from base 241 to 394 matches the Rfam family "5.8S ribosomal RNA". Lineage: Eukaryota; Fungi; Ascomycota; Sordariomycetes; Hypocreales; Hypocreaceae. The record is from RNAcentral.
AACAAGGUCUCCGUUGGUGAACCAGCGGAGGGAUCAUUACCGAGUUUACAACUCCCAAACCCAAUGUGAACGUUACCAAACUGUUGCCUCGGCGGGAUCUCUGCCCCGGGUGCGUCGCAGCCCCGGACCAAGGCGCCCGCCGGAGGACCAACCAAAACUCUUAUUGUAUACCCCCUCGCGGGUUUUUUUAUAAUCUGAGCCUUCUCGGCGCCUCUCGUAGGCGUUUCGAAAAUGAAUCAAAACUUUCAACAACGGAUCUCUUGGUUCUGGCAUCGAUGAAGAACGCAGCGAAAUGCGAUAAGUAAUGUGAAUUGCAGAAUUCAGUGAAUCAUCGAAUCUUUGAACGCACAUUGCGCCCGCCAGUAUUCUGGCGGGCAUGCCUGUCCGAGCGUCAUUUCAACCCUCGAACCCCUCCGGGGGGUCGGCGUUGGGGAUCGGCCCUCCCUUAGCGGGGUGGCCGUCUCCGAAAUACAGUGGCGGUCUCGCCGCAGCCUCUCCUGCGCAGUAGUUUGCACACUCGCAUCGGGAGCGCGGCGCGUCCACAGCCGUUAAACACCCAACUUCUGAAAUGUUGACCUCGGAUCAGGUAGGAAUACC